This is a small nucleolar RNA of Erigeron canadensis, 100 nucleotides long. RefSeq annotates it as small nucleolar RNA Z122. The transcript has a single exon. Lineage: Eukaryota; Viridiplantae; Streptophyta; Magnoliopsida; Asterales; Asteraceae. The record is from RefSeq and is a predicted model, not a curated record.
UUUGGGAAAUGAUGAUGAAAGAUAUCGAUAUCUUAUCAUAGGUGCAGUUCUCUGCGCUCUGCUGAGUAAAAUCUUAUUUGCACGUCAGUCUGAUCCCAAA